This is a transfer RNA of 73 nucleotides. It matches the Rfam family "tRNA". From Rfam's summary of the family: Transfer RNA (tRNA) molecules are approximately 80 nucleotides in length. Their secondary structure includes four short double-helical elements and three loops (D, anti-codon, and T loops). The record is from Rfam.
AGCCGGGUCGUCUAGUGGUCAAGGAUCGAGGGCUUUGGCCCCUCGGACCUGGGUUCAAAUCCCAGCCCGGCUA